RNAcentral lists this ribosomal RNA (245 nucleotides) under uncultured bacterium. RNAcentral's name for it is "partial 16S ribosomal RNA". It matches the Rfam family "Bacterial small subunit ribosomal RNA", at positions 524 to 767 of the family's 1533-position model. The record is from RNAcentral.
UACGAAGGGGGGCUAGCGUUGUUCGGAAUUACUGGGUGUAAAGGGUUCGUAGGCGGUGCGGCAAGUUGGGAGUGAAAUCUCUGGGCUUAACCCAGAGGCUGCUUCCAAAACUGCCGUGCUUGGGUGUGGGAGAGGCGCGUGGAAUUGCAGGUGUAGCGGUGAAAUGCGUAGAUAUCUGCAGGAACACCCGUGGCGAAAGCGGCGAGCUGGAUCACUACUGACGCUGAAGAACGAAAGCUAGGGGA